Odontomachus brunneus is the source of this 863-nucleotide long non-coding RNA. RefSeq lists it as uncharacterized. NCBI's taxonomy places the organism in Eukaryota, Metazoa, Arthropoda, Insecta, Hymenoptera, Formicidae. The transcript is spliced from 2 exons. The record is from RefSeq and is a predicted model, not a curated record.
UAUAUAUAGUAAUAUGUAUAAUGUUUAAUGUUCAUAUACUUAUGUUCUUAUCGUAAUUAUAUUUUCUAUCUAUCCGCCGAAUUUCAUGAAAACCAACGUAACAUAUUCAUGAAAACGUUCCUCUGAAAAAGAUCCUCUGAUAUUGUAUUUCGCAUGCGCGGAAGUUUGGACCCGCUACGACAACGAUUGCGAUAUGUAUUGUGUGCAAUUAUAUUACUGUUUUCAUAAAUAGACGUUAUCUGCAUAUAUUACAAAGCGAACCCAAAAAUAUUGAGUUAAAGUGAUCAUCAAAAGUGCUUCUCAGUUGUAAGGAGUUAACAGAGUUGUCAACAGAGCAAGCAAGAAGAGAAAUUACAAAGAAAGUACAAGUUAACAGAAUAAAGAAAAGUAAGUAUUUCUUUUCAUGUUUAUACUGAUAUAUAAAAAUGAAAGGUCGAGUGAAACCAUUUGAUAAACUGUCAAGGUGGCAAAAAAAUAGAUGUUUAAAUAAAAAUAUUGAAGACUUUGGUUUGUUGUGAAAGUAUGAUAUUGAAGAAGAUAAUAGUAUAAAUUUAAAUAUUAUAAAAAAAGCAGAAAAUGUUGGAAAAUAUCAAGUAGAGGAACUUUUUAUUGAAUCACGUUUAAGCAGUUCAAGUAUGUCUAAUGAGUUAGAAGAAAAAACUGAUAAUAGUGAAGACACAGCGGACAAUGAUGACAAUGAUGAUAAUAUUACAGAUAGAACUAGUGUCGAAUAUAAUGAGACAACAUUCUUAUCAGAAAUACAAUUGUGGGCUGUAAAAAAUAAUAUUUCUCAUAUUGCGUUGUCUCAAUUGUUAAAAAUAUAUAAAAAAUACCAUCCAAAUAAAGAAACUCCAAGUGAUGCU